RNAcentral lists this non-coding RNA (94 nucleotides) under bovine gut metagenome. Its description in RNAcentral is "TPP riboswitch (THI element)". It matches the Rfam family "TPP riboswitch aptamer (THI element)". Rfam says of the family: Vitamin B(1) in its active form thiamin pyrophosphate (TPP) is an essential coenzyme that is synthesised by coupling of pyrimidine and thiazole moieties in bacteria. The record is from RNAcentral.
AAAAAAGGGGAGCUUGUAAACAGGCUGAGAGGGGGUUAUGAACCCCGACCCAUAGACCUGAUGCGGAUAAUGCCGCCGUAGGGAUCAUAUUUGA